CCACCUCUCAGGUAAAGAAGGCCACCUUCUAAUGGUGUCCUCCCAUCCCUCUAAAACUAGGGUCUCAUGGCUAUGGAGAGUACACAGAGAAAGCUUGGGUUCUCAAUUGUUUUGGUAAAACCCUGAUCUUUGCAAUUCACAGUCUUACAACGUUGCUUUCGAUUCUUGGGACUUUGACAGGUUCAUCUCUUCCCCUCAAAAGUUCAGCAUUAGUAUAUUUUCUAUUCUCAAUUUUAGCUCUCUACUGCUGCCAUCUAAGCUGUGAGUCAUCACAAUUGAGUCAUCACAAUUGCCUGAGUCGUGUUUUUUUUUCCAUUGUUGACAAUUUUUGGUGCAUCGUAUUUUACUACCCCUAUCUUGAAACUCAUACAUAUUGGAUGGUAACUUUCUUGUUAAUUUAACAACCUCCCUCUAUAUGUAUUCAUCAUAUUUUAUUGAUUCACCUACCUUUUGCAGUCCUCUUGCAAUAAAUUAAUUUUUAACCCUAAUCUUUAUGAGCAUAGUUUUCUCUCUCUCUGCUGUUAACUAGAGGUUAGGGCAGUCGUGCGUUUCUUACCGAUACAAGUUCACUGUAUUUUUUACCAAGCCCUCCAUCUCACAACCAAAGCAUUGCAGCUAUCUAUUGAAACAAUGCUUUUCUUUUUCAUCCAAAUUUCACAACAGACAGAAGGGGGCCCGAGACACAGGCCUGCAACUGCCAAGAAGUCUUUCCAAGCAGAACCCCCGGGCAGCACAUUGGUUUCAGAACAAAGAAGAUCCAACCAUCACAAUGCUUUCACAAAUCCAUUUUAUGGAACGUAUCAAAUUCGAGUGACUAGAUCAAGCAUCAAUUGGUUUCAGAACAAAGAAGAUCCAACCAUCACAAUGCUUUCACAAAUCCAUUUUAUGGAACGUAUCAAAUUCGAGUGACUAGAUCAAGAAUUUGAGAAAAAAAAAAAAAAUCAAACAAGAUCUGAUAAAAGGCCUUGGCAAAAUAUUGCAAGGACUGCAAAAUCAGCUUAGUACAUUACAACAAAAGGAAGAAGAAUGUUGAAAGAUAGAUUUCAAUGCAAAAGAUGUUGACGACAACACAAACAUGCAAGAAAUUUUGAAAAUAAUUUAUGAGAAAGAAGUCAUGCUCCU
Molecule: non-coding RNA, 1122 nt
Organism: Amborella trichopoda
Lineage: Eukaryota; Viridiplantae; Streptophyta; Magnoliopsida; Amborellales; Amborellaceae
Source: RefSeq, a predicted model, not a curated record